AACGAACGCUGGCGGCAUGCCUAACACAUGCAAGUCGAACGAGACCUUCGGGUCUAGUGGCGCACGGGUGCGUAACGCGUGGGAACCUGCCCUUAGGUUCGGAAUAACUCCCCGAAAGGGGUACUAAUACCGGAUAAUGUCUUCGGACCAAAGAUUUAUCGCCUUUGGAUGGGCCCGCGUUGGAUUAGCUAGUUGGUAGGGUAAAAGCCUACCAAGGCGACGAUCCAUAGCUGGUCUGAGAGGAUGAUCAGCCACACUGGGACUGAGACACGGCCCAGACUCCUACGGGAGGCAGCAGUGGGGAAUAUUGGACAAUGGGCGAAAGCCUGAUCCAGCAGUGCCGCGUGAGUGAUGAAGGCAUUAGGGUUGUAAAGCUCUUUUACCCGGGAUGAUAAUGGCAGUACCGGGAGAAUAAGCUCCGGCUAACUCCGUG
RNAcentral lists this ribosomal RNA (433 nucleotides) under uncultured bacterium. RNAcentral describes it as "partial 16S ribosomal RNA". It matches the Rfam family "Bacterial small subunit ribosomal RNA", at positions 29 to 507 of the family's 1533-position model. The record is from RNAcentral.